UGCAGUCGAGGGGCAGCAUAUAGAUUGCUUGCAAUUUAUGAUGGCGACCGGCGCACGGGUGAGUAACGCGUAUCCAACCUACCCAUUACUAGGGAAUAACCCAGCGAAAGUUGGCCUAAUGCCCUAUGUAGUCGUUUGAUCGCCUGAGAUUUCGACGAAAGAUUUAUCGGUAUUGGAUGGGGAUGCGUCUGAUUAGCUUGUUGGCGGGGUAAAGGCCCACCAAGGCAACGAUCAGUAGGGGUUCUGAGAGGAAGGUCCCCCACAUUGGAACUGAGACACGGUCCAAACUCCUACGGGAGGCAGCAGUGAGGAAUAUUGGUCAAUGGGCGAGAGCCUGAACCAGCCAAGUAGCGUGCAGGAUGACGGCCCUAUGGGUUGUAAACUGCUUUUAUAUGGGAAUAAAGUGAGGGACGUGUCCCUUAUUGCAUGUACCAUACGAAUAAGGACCGGCUAAUUCCGUGCCAGCAGCCGCGGUAAUACGGAAGGUCCAGGCGUUAUCCGGAUUUAUUGGGUUUAAAGGGAGCGUAGGCUGUUUGUUAAGCGUGUUGUGAAAUGUAGGAGCUCAACUUUUAGAUUGCAGCGCGAACUGGCAGACUUGAGUGCGCACAACGUAGGCGGANNUNAUGGUGUAGCGGUGAAAUGCUUAGAUAU
RNAcentral lists this ribosomal RNA (651 nucleotides) under uncultured bacterium. Its description in RNAcentral is "bacterial SSU rRNA". It matches the Rfam family "Bacterial small subunit ribosomal RNA", at positions 56 to 697 of the family's 1533-position model. The record is from RNAcentral.